AACCAUAGAAACCUGCGGAGUACCUGCGGAAGGAUCAUUACCGAGUUUACAACUCCCAAACCCCUGUGAACAUACCAAUUGUUGCCUCGGCGGAUCAGCCCGCUCCCGGUAAAACGGGACGGCCCGCCAGAGGACCCCUAAACUCUGUUUCUAUAUGUAACUCCUGAGUAAAACCAUAAAUAAAUCAAAACUUUUAACAACGGAUCU
This 207-nucleotide unclassified non-coding RNA is filed under the name soil metagenome. RNAcentral's name for it is "partial contains 5.8S ribosomal RNA, internal transcribed spacer 2, and large subunit ribosomal RNA". The record is from RNAcentral.